GACGAACGCUGGCGGCGUGCUUAACACAUGCAAGUCGAACGGAAAGGCCCUGCUUUUGUGGGGUGCUCGAGUGGCGAACGGAUGAGUAACACGUGAGUAACCUGCCCUUGACUUCGGGAUAACUUCAGGAAACUGGGGCUAAUACCGGAUAGGAGCUCCUGCUGCAUGGUGGGGGUUGGAAAGUUUCGGCGGUUGGGGAUGGACUCGCGGCUUAUCAGCUUGUUGGUGGGGUAGUGGCUUACCAAGGCUUUGACGGGUAGCCGGCCUGAGAGGGUGACCGGCCACAUUGGGACUGAGAUACGGCCCAGACUCCUACGGGAGGCAGCAGUGGGGAAUAUUGCACAAUGGGCGGAAGCCUGAUGCAGCAACGCCGCGUGCGGGAUGACGGCCUUCGGGUUGUAAACCGCUUUCGCCUGUGACGAAGCGUGAGUGACGGUAAUGGGUAAAGAAGCACCGGCUAACUACGUG
RNAcentral lists this ribosomal RNA (468 nucleotides) under uncultured bacterium. RNAcentral's name for it is "partial 16S ribosomal RNA". It matches the Rfam family "Bacterial small subunit ribosomal RNA", at positions 28 to 507 of the family's 1533-position model. The record is from RNAcentral.